GAUGAACGCUGACAGAAUGCUUAACACAUGCAAGUCAACUUGAACUUCGGUUUGGGUGGCGGACGGGUGAGUAACGCGUAAAGAACUUGCCUCACAGAUAGGGACAACAUUUGGAAACGAAUGCUAAUACCUGAUAUUAUGAUUAUAUGGCAUCGUAUAAUUAUGAAAGCUAUAUGCGCUGUGAGAGAGCUUUGCGUCCCAUUAGCUAGUUGGAGAGGUAACGGCUCACCAAGGCGAUGAUGGGUAGCCGGCCUGAGAGGGUGAUCGGCCACAAGGGGACUGAGGCACGGCCCUUACGCCUACGGGAGGCAGCAGUGGGGAAUAUUGGACAAUGGACCAAGAGUCUGAUCCAGCAAUUCUGUGUGCACGAUGAAGUAUUUCGGAAUGUAAAGUGCUUUCAGUUGGGAAGAAAAAAAUGACGGUACCAACAGAAGAAGUGACGGCUAAAUACGUG
Molecule: ribosomal RNA, 454 nt
Filed under: uncultured bacterium
Lineage: Bacteria
Description: partial 16S ribosomal RNA
Rfam family: Bacterial small subunit ribosomal RNA
Source: RNAcentral